This 241-nucleotide ribosomal RNA is filed under the name uncultured bacterium. RNAcentral's name for it is "partial 16S ribosomal RNA". It matches the Rfam family "Bacterial small subunit ribosomal RNA", at positions 524 to 765 of the family's 1533-position model. The record is from RNAcentral.
UACGAAGGGGGCUAGCGUUGCUCGGAAUUACUGGGCGUAAAGCGCACGUAGGCGGCUUUCUAAGUCGGGGGUGAAAUCCUGGAGCUCAACUCCAGAACUGCCUCGAUACUGGAGAGCUCGAGUCCGGGAGAGGUGAGUGGAACUGCGAGUGUAGAGGUGAAAUUCGUAGAUAUUCGCAAGAACACCAGUGGCGAAGGCGGCUCACUGGCCCGGUACUGACGCUGAGGUGCGAAAGCGUGGG